RNAcentral lists this ribosomal RNA (232 nucleotides) under uncultured bacterium. RNAcentral describes it as "partial 16S ribosomal RNA". It matches the Rfam family "Bacterial small subunit ribosomal RNA", at positions 99 to 334 of the family's 1533-position model. The record is from RNAcentral.
CGGACGGGUGAGUAAUGUCUGGGAAACUGCCUGAUGGAGGGGGAUAACUACUGGAAACGGUAGCUAAUACCGCAUAACGUCGCAAGACCAAAGAGGGGGACCUUAGGGCCUCGCGCCAUCAGAUGAACCCAUAUGGGAUUAGCUAGUAGGUAAGGUAACGGCUUACCUAGGCGACGAUCCCUAGCUGGUCUGAGAGGAUGAUCAGCCACACUGGGACUGAGACACGGCCCAG